RNAcentral lists this long non-coding RNA (226 nucleotides) under Brassica rapa (field mustard). RNAcentral describes it as "long non-coding RNA (BRAP_LNC008506)". The record is from RNAcentral. Lineage: Eukaryota; Viridiplantae; Streptophyta; Magnoliopsida; Brassicales; Brassicaceae.
UCAGCUACAGGUGCACGUGUGGAUAUGCUCUUCUUAUGGGUCUGGUUGACUUCCUUGAGGGUUUUCACCACUUCCUCCACAAAGUUAUCACACAACUCUUGGACAUCAAACUGAAGCAAACGUCUCUUUGGAUCAGCUUCACCUUGGGACGACUUGAAAGGUUCAUUGCACCUCCUGUUUGGCAUAUCUUGCACACUAACAAACUCAUCAAAAUUAUUCAAAGAAU